This 2869-nucleotide ribosomal RNA is filed under the name Klebsiella pneumoniae. RNAcentral describes it as "partial 23S ribosomal RNA". It matches the Rfam family "Bacterial large subunit ribosomal RNA". The record is from RNAcentral. Lineage: Bacteria; Pseudomonadati; Pseudomonadota; Gammaproteobacteria; Enterobacterales; Enterobacteriaceae.
GCGAUGAAGGACGUGCUAAUCUGCGAAAAGCGUCGGUAAGGUGAUAUGAACCGUUAUAACCGGCGAUGUCCGAAUGGGGAAACCCAGUGCAAUUCGUUGCACUAUCGUUAACUGAAUACAUAGGUUAACGAGGCGAACCGGGGGAACUGAAACAUCUAAGUACCCCGAGGAAAAGAAAUCAACCGAGAUUCCCCCAGUAGCGGCGAGCGAACGGGGAGCAGCCCAGAGUCUGAAUCAGCUUGUGUGUUAGUGGAACGGUCUGGAAAGUCCGACGGUACAGGGUGAUAGUCCCGUACACCAAAAUGCACAGGUUGUGAACUCGAAGAGUAGGGCGGGACACGUGGUAUCCUGUCUGAAUAUGGGGGGACCAUCCUCCAAGGCUAAAUACUCCUGACUGACCGAUAGUGAACCAGUACCGUGAGGGAAAGGCGAAAAGAACCCCGGCGAGGGGAGUGAAAAAGAACCUGAAACCGUGUACGUACAAGCAGUGGGAGCACCUUCGGGUGUGACUGCGUACCUUUUGUAUAAUGGGUCAGCGACUUAUAUUCUGUAGCAAGGUUAACCGUAUAGGGGAGCCGCAGGGAAACCGAGUCUUAACUGGGCGUUAAGUUGCAGGGUAUAGACCCGAAACCCGGUGAUCUAGCCAUGGGCAGGUUGAAGGUUGGGUAACACUAACUGGAGGACCGAACCGACUAAUGUUGAAAAAUUAGCGGAUGACUUGUGGCUGGGGGUGAAAGGCCAAUCAAACCGGGAGAUAGCUGGUUCUCCCCGAAAGCUAUUUAGGUAGCGCCUCGUGAAUUCAUCUUCGGGGGUAGAGCACUGUUUCGGCUAGGGGGUCAUCCCGACUUACCAACCCGAUGCAAACUACGAAUACCGAAGAAUGUUAUCACGGGAGACACACGGCGGGUGCUAACGUCCGUCGUGAAGAGGGAAACAACCCAGACCGCCAGCUAAGGUCCCAAAGUCAUGGUUAAGUGGGAAACGAUGUGGGAAGGCACAGACAGCCAGGAUGUUGGCUUAGAAGCAGCCAUCAUUUAAAGAAAGCGUAAUAGCUCACUGGUCGAGUCGGCCUGCGCGGAAGAUGUAACGGGGCUAAACCAUGCACCGAAGCUGCGGCAGCGACACUAUGUGUUGUUGGGUAGGGGAGCGUUCUGUAAGCCUGCGAAGGUGACCUGUGAGGGUUGCUGGAGGUAUCAGAAGUGCGAAUGCUGACAUAAGUAACGAUAAAGCGGGUGAAAAGCCCGCUCGCCGGAAGACCAAGGGUUCCUGUCCAACGUUAAUCGGGGCAGGGUGAGUCGACCCCUAAGGCGAGGCCGAAAGGCGUAGUCGAUGGGAAACAGGUUAAUAUUCCUGUACUUGGUGUUACUGCGAAGGGGGGACGGAGAAGGCUAUGUUAGCCGGGCGACGGUUGUCCCGGUUUAAGCAUGUAGGCUGGUUAUCCAGGCAAAUCCGGAUAAUCAAGGCUGAGGUGUGAUGACGAGGCACUACGGUGCUGAAGUAACAAAUGCCCUGCUUCCAGGAAAAGCCUCUAAGCAUCAGGUAACAUCAAAUCGUACCCCAAACCGACACAGGUGGUCAGGUAGAGAAUACCAAGGCGCUUGAGAGAACUCGGGUGAAGGAACUAGGCAAAAUGGUGCCGUAACUUCGGGAGAAGGCACGCUGGUGUGUAGGUGAAGCCCCUGCGGGUGGAGCUGAGACCAGUCGAAGAUACCAGCUGGCUGCAACUGUUUAUUAAAAACACAGCACUGUGCAAACACGAAAGUGGACGUAUACGGUGUGACGCCUGCCCGGUGCCGGAAGGUUAAUUGAUGGGGUUAUCCGUAAGGAGAAGCUCUUGAUCGAAGCCCCGGUAAACGGCGGCCGUAACUAUAACGGUCCUAAGGUAGCGAAAUUCCUUGUCGGGUAAGUUCCGACCUGCACGAAUGGCGUAAUGAUGGCCAGGCUGUCUCCACCCGAGACUCAGUGAAAUUGAACUCGCUGUGAAGAUGCAGUGUACCCGCGGCAAGACGGAAAGACCCCGUGAACCUUUACUAUAGCUUGACACUGAACAUUGAGCCUUGAUGUGUAGGAUAGGUGGGAGGCUUUGAAGCGUGGACGCCAGUCUGCGUGGAGCCAACCUUGAAAUACCACCCUUUAAUGUUUGAUGUUCUAACGUUGGCCCCUGACCGGGGUUGCGGACAGUGUCUGGUGGGUAGUUUGACUGGGGCGGUCUCCUCCCAAAGCGUAACGGAGGAGCACGAAGGUUAGCUAAUCCUGGUCGGACAUCAGGAGGUUAGUGCAAUGGCAUAAGCUAGCUUGACUGCGAGCGUGACGGCGCGAGCAGGUGCGAAAGCAGGUCAUAGUGAUCCGGUGGUUCUGAAUGGAAGGGCCAUCGCUCAACGGAUAAAAGGUACUCCGGGGAUAACAGGCUGAUACCGCCCAAGAGUUCAUAUCGACGGCGGUGUUUGGCACCUCGAUGUCGGCUCAUCACAUCCUGGGGCUGAAGUAGGUCCCAAGGGUAUGGCUGUUCGCCAUUUAAAGUGGUACGCGAGCUGGGUUUAGAACGUCGUGAGACAGUUCGGUCCCUAUCUGCCGUGGGCGCUGGAGAAUUGAGGGGGGCUGCUCCUAGUACGAGAGGACCGGAGUGGACGCAUCACUGGUGUUCGGGUUGUCAUGCCAAUGGCACUGCCCGGUAGCUAAAUGCGGAAGAGAUAAGUGCUGAAAGCAUCUAAGCACGAAACUUGCCCCGAGAUGAGUUCUCCCUGAGACUUUAAGUCUCCUGAAGGAACGUUGAAGACGACGACGUUGAUAGGCCGGGUGUGUAAGCGCAGCGAUGCGUUGAGCUAACCGGUACUAAUGAACCGUGAGGCUUAACCUUACAACGCCGAAG